This 99-nucleotide Y RNA is filed under the name Carlito syrichta (Philippine tarsier). RNAcentral describes it as "Y RNA (ENSTSYG00000023237.2)". It matches the Rfam family "Y RNA". Rfam says of the family: Y RNAs are components of the Ro ribonucleoprotein particle (Ro RNP), in association with Ro60 and La proteins. The Y RNAs and Ro60 and La proteins are well conserved, but the function of the Ro RNP is not known. The record is from Rfam by way of RNAcentral. Lineage: Eukaryota; Metazoa; Chordata; Mammalia; Primates; Tarsiidae.
GGCUGGUCAGAAGAUAGUGAAUUAUCUCGAUUGUUCACCGUCAGUUACAGGUGGAACUCCUUGUACCUCCUUCUCACUACUGCACUUGACUAGUCUUAA